UUAAAUUGAAGAGUUUGAUCAUGGCUCAGAUUGAACGCUGGCGGCAGGCCUAACACAUGCAAGUCGAACGGUAACAGGAAGCAGCUUGCUGCUUCGCUGACGAGUGGCGGACGGGUGAGUAAUGUCUGGGAAACUGCCUGAUGGAGGGGGAUAACUACUGGAAACGGUGGCUAAUACCGCAUAACGUCGCAAGACCAAAGAGGGGGACCUUCGGGCCUCUUGCCAUCAGAUGUGCCCAGAUGGGAUUAGCUUGUUGGUGAGGUAACGGCUCACCAAGGCGACGAUCCCU
RNAcentral lists this ribosomal RNA (289 nucleotides) under Salmonella enterica subsp. enterica serovar Typhimurium. Its description in RNAcentral is "partial 16S ribosomal RNA". It matches the Rfam family "Bacterial small subunit ribosomal RNA", at positions 1 to 284 of the family's 1533-position model. Lineage: Bacteria; Pseudomonadati; Pseudomonadota; Gammaproteobacteria; Enterobacterales; Enterobacteriaceae. The record is from RNAcentral.